AUUUAUGCCAGUGGAGCCUGCAGAGCCAACCUUGGAGAAGGAAGGAGAGGAGAGAGAGAAAACCAGUCCCAGAGGCCGGAGGGGCAGGAACCAGGAUCAGAGCCCCUGGCAGAGGGCAUCCGUCAGGGAGUGAGCCGACCCCAGCAGCCCUGGACUCAGGGAGCAGUGCCCAGGCCUUGGGAAAACUGAGGCUACCCUGGUGGGUGCGGGAGCUGAGUCUGCACAAACGCCUCUGCUCA
Molecule: long non-coding RNA, 239 nt
Filed under: Homo sapiens (human)
Lineage: Eukaryota; Metazoa; Chordata; Mammalia; Primates; Hominidae
Description: HSALNT0270586
Source: RNAcentral